AGUGAACGCUGGCGGGAGGCCUAACACAUGCAAGUCGAACGGCAGCACAGUAAGAGCUUGCUCUUACGGGUGGCGAGUGGCGGACGGGUGAGGAAUACAUCGGAAUCUACUUUUUCGUGGGGGGUAACGUAGGGAAACUUACGCUAAUACCGCAUACGACCUACGGGUGAAAGCAGGGGAUCUUUGGACCUUGCGCGAUUGAAUGAGCCGAUGUCGGAUUAGCUAGUUGGCGGGGUAAAGGCCCACCAAGGCGACGAUCCGUAGCUGGUCUGAGAGGAUGAUCAGCCACACUGGAACUGAGACACGGUCCAGACUCCUACGGGAGGCAGCAGUGGGGAAUAUUGGACAAUGGGCGCAAGCCUGAUCCAGCCAUACCGCGUGGGUGAAGAAGGCCUUCGGGUUGUAAAGCCCUUUUGUUGGGAAAGAAAAGCAGCAGGUUAAUACCCCGCUGUUCUGACGGUACCCAAAGAAUAAGCACCGGCUAACUUCGUG
Molecule: ribosomal RNA, 492 nt
Filed under: uncultured bacterium
Lineage: Bacteria
Description: partial 16S ribosomal RNA
Rfam family: Bacterial small subunit ribosomal RNA
Source: RNAcentral